RNAcentral lists this long non-coding RNA (27747 nucleotides) under Triticum aestivum (bread wheat). Its description in RNAcentral is "long non-coding RNA (TAES_LNC011446)". The record is from RNAcentral. Lineage: Eukaryota; Viridiplantae; Streptophyta; Magnoliopsida; Poales; Poaceae.
CGGAGUCGUCAGUGCAAGGCCGGCGUCGGGCACGCGCAAGGUACGCACGCUGGGCAUGCAUUCUUCAGGUCGCGCGGAGAGUUUGCAGGUCUUGGAUCGCGGCCGUGACAGCUCAUGGGUCUUGAACUCUCGAUGAAUGUACGCAGGCUUGUUACGCAGCGGCAGGGUUCGUCGCCGUCGGUUGCCUCUGCUCUUACCUGUCCUGGAGGUGCCACACGAGCAAACACUAGAUCUUUGUUCCUCUAUCUUUUGUUUAUUAUUGUUUUUUUUAGAAUCAUCUUUUGUUGAUUGGUUUGGGAGGGCUUGCCGCUCGAUAGAUUUUUUUUCAUGAUAAUACGUGUCUCAUUCAUAAUAUAAAGAUCAAAAUACAAGUCACGAUUGACAUUACAAAACUGAAAAGAUAGCAGAACAUCACUGAGCUUGACAUCAACACCUGUCAUCUGCCUCCGGCACCGUCACAGCAGCCACUAAAGAAAAGAAUGACGAAUUACCUUCUCACCCAAGCUUGAUGCGGCUCCGUCGCAGAUAUUCAGCUUUGCAAACCUCCAAGGUGACUCAACAGAAGUGAAGCCCUUGUCGUUGAACGAAUCAAACCAGGGCAACACCCCGGACAUGCCAUCGAACUCCAGAUCUGUCACCCCACCACGACUAAGACGUCGAAGGAGCAAACCACCAUACCUGCCAUCCACGAACCACAAACCCAGCACACGUUCCGUCUUCCAGAUGUAGUCGAUGCAAACCACAAUCUACAUCUGCUCCUAGACUACCUCCCAAGCUCUACGCCGACGCAGGAGCAAACAACUUCUCAACGGUGGAGUCCGAGGACACAGGUCCACCACGAGGAUGCCGUCGCCGCCACGUCAUCCUUACUUGAAUGGACCGGUUUUCAAAUCCAUCCCCAACCAAAGGACCGAUGGCCUCAUCAGGGAGGGAUCCAAAGAAUCUUUAUUCAGCGCCGUCAUCAUCGUCGUCAAAGCCAAGACGAUGAACAACCUAAAAACCUAGAUUCCGGGGGAGUAAAAACGAUCCACACGCGUGGAUCCGGGGACCCCCCUCGCCACCGACGAUCGAGGUCGCCGGCAGAGGGGAGCCGCCGGAGUUUGGUGCUGGAAGAUUGGCCUCUCCUAGCGGCGGCUAGGGUUACAACGACCAGGGACGAGAGGAAAACAAUCUUGUUGGAAUUUAGACAUCCAGAAUUGCUUUUAGAUAUUUGUUCCUCUAUCUUUUUUUGAAACGAGGCAAAAGACUUGCCAUUUUCAGUGAUUAAGAAGAAGACAAUUGCCCGUUUAAUUGACGGAAAACUAGGCUAAAACCGAUACAAGCCAAUUUAUAUGACAUGGGCACCACCGGCCAACCUGGCCACCAGCAUGAAACCUGAAACUACAAAGAAGAAAGACAUCCGCCGACGAGUUGGAGCGUCAUCGUCAUCACUGGUUGCCUCGAACGGACGACUUUGACUUCAUCAUAGAGCUCCAUCAUCGAAGUUAACCCGCAAACAGCCGCAGAAGCCACGGCGGCACAUGCCAAUGGAUGGCCACACGCGCAAGCAGCCGACAGCUCCGACUUUGACGACGAGCAUCUCAAGAGAAAUAUGCAGGACUUGCACCGACCGUGCCCUCUGUAAACGACCACCGAGUGCCUGUCAUCGUCACCACCUGGACCCGCUCCAUCGCAGUUCCGACUUCAAAGCAACCAAGCAACCUACAGAAGAGCACGUUGGACACGCCUGGAAGAAUCGACUACCGAAGUCCACGCCGCGACCAGGUCUCCUCUCGACGCCAUCAUCAUUGCCCAACAGAAACAAGCGCCCCGCCUCAGCAAAUCACGCGGCGAAGAUGCCGCCAUCCAUGGCGAAGAUGCCGCAGUCCACCAGUCUCCUAGUCAUAGCUGGCUCCGAGACGAUGCCCCCAAGGAGGAGAAAGAUGCGAAGAUGCCUCCGUUGCCCUAUCCAGCGGAUCUGAGGAUUCCCUCCGAAGCCAAAGCCGUGGGGAGGAGGAGCACACCUCAACAACGACGCUUCCAAGAAAGACCACGACACCCGCGAGCGCCGUCCUUGCCGGCUCCUAUGAAGGCCGGAGCAAAGAUUUUUCCCGAAGAUGCGCCGACCACCUGCCACCACCGAUCGCCGCCCACCUGCCACCACUUGCUGAGGUCGACCUCAUUCUAGCCGCGGGAUCGCAUGACCACCAUGACCAGACAUGCACCACCCCCUGGCUGAAGCCGCCGUACACCACCACAGCACCACCAUGGCCACCACCACCGCAAUAACCAACGCCGCAUCGCGAAGCGUAGCACUCAGAUCGAUGCAGCUCACAUCAGAUCCAAUUGGAGCUGCACGAGCGAAGCAGCAGAGCAGACGAGCAAGUUCUCCUACCGCAGCGCACCUCGCACUCCAGAGCAGCACACUUGCCACGCCCAGCCAGUCAACGCGCCAGCCGUCGCCGCGCCCGGCCUGUUCUGCGCCCAUGCAGACAUCCGCAUCCGAGCCGCCGCCGCACGUAUGCGCGCCGCCCACGCCCUUGCUACACAAGAAGUCCGGACCGAGGUCGCCACCCUGACGCUCCACCCGCCGCCCGCAAGAGGCCCCAUGCCGCUCCGACCGCCGCCCUCGCCCGACGCCGCCCUGCCCAGAGUUCCCCUGCUCGUGAGAGGUCCGGCCCGCCGCAGAGAAAGGAACCCCGCCGCCGCCUGUUCCACGGAGGCGCCGGCAACAGCGAGGGGGAGGAUUGGGUGGGGCGCCCGGAGUUCUUGGCGAUUUUGUUCGCCGCCCGUGUCGCCCCUGGGAAGCGAGCAACGCGAGGGCCCGUUGGCUAGGUAAUUGGUUGUUCCUCUAUCUGACGUAGGUGUUAUGUGUAUAUGCAUGUUUAGGAUCUAAUACUCUAUAUUAGAGUCUAACUAUAUCUCAUCUAGAUGUAACAUAAUACCUCACAUAUAAGUUUGACAUCCACACUGUUUGUGACCCCUUUUGUUUGUCUAGGCCUGUUUGUUUAUAUCGAUUUUUUUGUUUGGUCGAGCAGCUGCCGGGCGUUGUGUGCUGUCACACGCUGCAGAGAGCCCCCGACUGGGCUGGCUCAUUAGCAAGCGUGGAGCCAUUAUAUAUAGUGCAGCCUAAACAUCAAAAAAUGGAAAUGCGGCGCUCAGAAUCGAACACAAGACCUCUGGUACAGAGGCAUGCCUGUAGUUAGCCACUAGAGCUAUUUGACGAUAGUGACUUCUUGUCACCGUGAAACACUAAAGUGCGGCAGAUUCACCUAAAAAAAAAAGUGCGGCCGAUCGGACAAUUUAGAAUUUUUUUCAAACAUUUCUUAAAAUUGUGAUAUUUUUUAUAUUGAGACAAAGAAUUUUUGAAUUUGCGAUGUGUUUUUACAAAAAUGAGAACAAAUUAUUAAAAUUGAGAACUUUUUUUAGACAACAAGAAUAUUUUCUACAAACUUCAAAACAUUUUCUAGAAACAUGAACAAUUUUUUUAAAUUGCAUAAAUUCUUUCAAAAAGUUGAGCAUUUUUUGAAUUUGCAACUAAUUUCUAGAAACGUGAACAUUGCUUGAAGCAUUUAUACCUGUUUGAAAAAACAUGAACAUUUUUAUAACUUGUGAACAAUUUUUGAAAAUAUGAACACAUUUUGAUAUUUUUAUUUUGAUAUAAACACACACAAAAUUUGGGAAAAUGAAAAAAAUAUGAAUUUUGGAACUUUUUGAAAGUUGUGAAUUGACGAAAAAAGAAUCAGAAAAAAAAUGAGAUCGAGUUUUGUAAAAUAGAAAUAUUAAAAGGAGAGGAAAACUCGUGAAGAAAAAUGACAAAAAAAAAAGAAAAUCACGGAAAAAACAAAAACGUAUCCUAGCUACUUGGGCCAGUUCAUGUGUGAUUUGCUCACUGCCGAGCUUGGACCCGCAACUAUGACAAAAAAAGUUGGGCCCCAGUUUGGAGUUGAGGGUAGAUUUGCAACUGAUACAAAAAAGGUCGGGCCCCAGUUGUAAGUCGAGAGUGGACUUGCAACUUGGACAAAAAAAUAGUCGGGCCCAAUUGCGAGUCGGGGUGGACUUGAAAUGGAGACUAAAUAAGGUCGGGCCCCAGUUGUGAGUCGAUGGUAGACUUGCGACCCGGACAAAAAAGGUUGGCCCUAUUUGCGAGUCGAGAGUGCACUUGCAGCUCGGACAAAAAAAUGGUUGGGCUCCAGUUGUGAGUCGAGAGUGACUUGCAACUAGGACAAAAAAGGUUGGGCCCCAGUUACGCGUCGAGGGUGGACUUGCAACUGGAGGUAAAAGUUUGUACCCCAAUUGCAAAUCGAAGAUGGACUUGCAACUAGGACAAAAAAAAUUCAGGCCGAAUUGCGAGUCAAGAGCGGGAUUUCAACUAGAGAAAAAAGGUCAAACCCAGCUGCAAGUCGCGGGUGGACUUGCAGUUGGAACAAAAAAAAGGUCAAACCCUUAGUUGCAAGUUGACUGUGGACUUGCAACUAGGACAAAAAAAGGCGGGUCCUAGUUACUAGUGGAGAGUGUGAUUGCAACUAGGAAAAAAAGAGGUCGAACCCAAGUUGCGAGUCGAGGGUGGACAUGUAGCUGGAAGAAAAGAAAAAGGUCAGACCCCAAUUACGAGUCGAGGGUGGACUUUCAAUUUUGAAAAAAAAAGCUGGACCCCAGUUGCGAGUUGAGGGUGGACUUGUAACUAUAAGAAAAAUAGGUCAGCCUCAAGUUGCGAGUUGAAGAUAGACUUGCAAUCGGGACAAAAAAGGAUGGCCCUAGUUGCGAGUCGAGAAUGAACUAGCAAAUGAGACAAAAAUGCUAACCCCCAGUUGCGAGUAGAGGCUAGACUUACAAAUGCGAAAAAAAGUUUGGGACCCAGUUGCGAGUCGAGGUUGGACUUGCAACUGAGAAAAAGAAAACAAACUUUGGGCCCAAUUCUGUGUUGAUGAUGGAUUAGCAACUUGGACUACACAAAAUUACACCGGUUGCGAGUCUGUGAUGGAUUUGCAACUGAGACAACUACAAACUACGAGCCUUAGUUGCGAGUCAAGGAAGGAAUUACAACUUGGAUAAAAAUAAACUUUAGUUCGGGUUGAACUUCGAUGACUUUUGACUCGGGUUUAAGGAAAGCUUUUCAAGUAAAAAAACUGAAGAUAAAAAACUACAGAUGAAUGGGCCCGGAUGGAAAAAGAAAAUAGAGCGAAGAGGCUAAAAAAGUUGAAAAGUUGCACAAAAACAAAAACGAGACAAGUCAAUGAACAGGAAAAACAAUAAAAAAAAGUUGAAAAGUUGCACAUCGUGGGCCACUGGGUGUCUCGCACAACACCAUGCUUCAACAAAAAAACAUUUGAGAGUUCGCCUAUAGGCAACUCGAGCUUUCCCUCUAGUUAGGGUUUUUCUCCUCCCGGUGGCGAUCUUGCCGCCGUCGAGACGAUUUGCUCCCCUACCACCGCGUUUUCCCCAUCGUUCUUCCCCGCUAGAGAGGGUGCGCAAGUGCCUGACCCUAGCAGGAACAGGGGCCGACGGGCUAGGGUUCCACCGUGAGAAUACCCAAUCUAUACUGUCUGUUUCGGGUGAGAGAUAUAAUGGCUUCUGGCGGAUCUUCAAGUUCUGCGGGAGUUGGAGAUGUUGAAUUGCCGAUGAAAGAGUUGGGACUGACCGAGGAAGAUCUGGACGAUGUGGUCUUCGAUGAAGUGCAGGUGCCAUCAGAUAAACCUAGAUGGAUAGCUUUGGCUAGGGUUAAUACUCCCAAAUCCUAUAGCCAAACGCCCAAACCUGCUUCUAUGGAAACAUGAGAUCGGCAUGGGACGCGGCGCAAGAAGUGAAGUUCAAGCCCCUGGAGAACAACUUAUACACUGUCCAAUUUUCAUGUUUGGGUGAUUGGGAGGGUAAUGAACGACGGUCCCUGGAACUUCAGAGGAGAUGCGGUGCUGAUCAUGACGUAUGAUGGGAUCACACAACCCUCCACCAUUAAGCUUGAAACAAUCGACAUAUGGAUCCAAAUCCAUGAUGUGCCGGAUCUAUAUUCCCAUCUUGUUGCCCCAGUUGCUGCAAAGGUGGGUGAGGUCUUGUUCUGUGAACCAGCAUAAAAUGAUUUUGUGGGAAAUUUCUACCGUGUCUGGGUUCGGCUCAAUGUUCUAAAGCCACUAAAGAACGCGGUGUCUAUGGUGAGGGAUGGAAAGAGGCAGAUAUACAGAGUCAGGUAUGAACGUCUCCCAGAUUGGUGCGCGUUGUGUGGAAUGCUAGGCCAUCAGUUUAAAGAGCACGGCAGUGGGAUCCAUCCUCCAUCGGCCUUGGUGUUUAAAGACCUUAGAGCUAGCUGGUUCAUGCGUAGUGGCCGAAGUCCAGGAGAGGGCCGUGGCCGUCAGGGUGGACGGCGUGGAGGCCGAUUUGGUAGCUGAACAGAUCAUCAAGAGAGGCAUGAGUACGGAAGGGCAGAAGAUCUCAACAUGAGAGGCUCAGGUAGGGGUGUAGCCCCGGACGCAGCGGAUAAUGAUGUUGACAUGGACGACGCAAGUAGGAAGAGGCUUGCGAGAAAGGAUCUAGGGGCCAACCAGCAACAAUGUUCGAGCACAGUUGAUACACAUAUCGUUGGCGAACAGCUAGCCGUUGUUCCUGUUACCAGUACUCUGAUUGUCAGAGAGCAGAAACGGUCCAAGACAGGGUUCGAGCAAGGCGAUGGAAACAACUCAGCAGUCAAAAGUUUGGCGGGCUCCUUCGAGGAGCGCUGCCAGGUCCAAUGAACGCUCUUUGUUGGAACUGCCGUGGAGCGGGUAAACCUGUGGCAGUUCAAGAGCUUUGCGAUUUUGCGAAGAAGUUUACCCCUACCCUCCAAUGUAUUGUUGAGACACAGAUAGAAGAUAGUAGGGUAGAAGCUUUAGCUAGCUCAAUAGGAUGUGAUAAUGCAUGGAGUUGACAGUCAAGGCCAUAGUGGAGGCAUUGGACUUUUUUGGAAUAAUGUAAUAAAAAUUGAAAUUCUUGGUUAUUCGUGUUAUCAUCUGGAUGUAUCUGUUGAGGAGGAAGGGGAGGACAAGUGGAGGCUCACAUGCGUCUAUAGUGAAGCCAAACUCACCUUCGUCACCAAACUUGGAUAGUUUCUUAAAAACAUAAGUACUUUGAGCACGCUCCCAUGGAUCUGUAUCGGUGAUUUCAACGAAGUGUUACGUCCAAGUGAGCAUGAGGGAGUUGGACAACGAAGUAAUGCUCAGAUCCAAGCUUUCAGAGAUACUAUUGAUAUUUGCAUGUUGAUAGAUUUGGGACACAAGGGACAGUUUUGGACCUCCGAGAAGAGGGUGGCAGGUGGUACCUACACUCGGUGCAGGUUGGAUAGGGCCUUAGUCAACUCAGAUUGGUUGGCAAGAUUUCCCCUGGCCUCGGUUACGCAUGAGACUGCAGCCACAUCAGACCAUCUUGCUCUGCUUCUAGAUUUUGGUCGAGCCAAAUCUGAAAGACGGAAAUAUGAGUUCAAGUAUGAGACGAUGUGGGAGACGCAUGAUGGACUGAAUGAUGCGGUUGCACAGGGUUGGGGCGCGGGUGCGCCUUGUUCCACAGUGGAAGAGAUGAGAGGAAAGCUCGGUAACUUAGCAAAAGAUUUGGGAAGAUGGAGUAGUGACACUUUCGGCAGUGUACAGAAAGAGAUUAAAGCCCUAAAAAGAAGAUUGAAGAGCUUCGAGGCGAUCCCCUACGUAUAGGCCCAUCACAUGAAGAACUGAAGGUUAAUGAGCGUCUGAUUGAACUUUAUCAUAGGGAGGAAAUUAUGUGGCGUCAGCGGGCACAGAUUGACUGGUUGACCGCAGGAGAUAAAAACACAAAGUUCUUUCAUAUGAGAGCGAGUCUAAGAUGAAAGAAGAACUUGAUCAAAGCUCUACAAAAUUCCUUGGGUGCCAUAGUGGUUGACCCGGAUGAGAUGAAAAUCUUGGCAAAUGAGUUCUAUAAAAUGCUCUAUACAACUGAAGGGGUGCAGGGCAUAGAUGAAGUGCUUAAUCAUGUGCCACGGAAAGUUUCGGAGGAGAUGAAUGCAAUGUUGAACACUGAAUAUACAAAGGAGGAGGUGAAAACAACCCUGUUUCAGAUGUUCCCCACCAAAGCUCUGGGGCCGGAUGGUUACCUGGCGCACUUUUAUCAGCAUCAUUGGGACAUUUGUGGUGAUGACGUAACGAGGGUGGUGUUGAGCAUAGUCCGAGGAGAGCAAAGCCCGGAAAGUAUUAAUGACAUAGUUUUGGUUCUGAUCCCAAAGGCUCUAAACCCCAACUUACUCUCAGUUUCGACCCAUCAGUCUGUGCAACGUUGAAAGGAUAGAUAUAGUUGACUAGAGGGGGGGUGAAUAGGCAACUAACAAUUUUUAAGCUUUUCUUUACCAAUUUAAACUUUGCAACAAAAUAGGUAGUCUAGAUAUGCAACUAUGUGAGCAACCUAUAUGAUGCAAUAACAACUAGCACAAAGGCAAGCAAGGGAUACAACACAAGUAAGCUUGCAAAAGUAAAGGCACGAGAUAACCAAGAGUGGAGCCGGUGGAGACGAGGAUGUGUUACCGAAGUUCCUUCCUUUGAAAGGGAAGUACGUCUCCGUUAGAGCGGUGUGGAGGCACAAUGCUCCCCAAGAAGCCACUAGGGCCACCGUAUUCUCCUCACGCCCUCACACAAUGUGAGAUGCCGUGAUUCCACUAUUGGUGCCCUUGAAGGCGGCGACCGAACCUUUACAAACAAGGUUGGGGCAAUCUCCACAACUUAAUUGGAGGCUCCCAAUGACACCACGAAGCUUCACCACAAUGGACUAUGGCUCCGAGGUGACCUCAACUGUCUAGGGUGCUCAAACACCCAAGAGUAACAAGAUCCGCUAGGGAUUAGUGGGGGGAAUCGAAUAUCUCUUGGUGGAAGUGUAGAUCAGGGCCUUGUCACCCAAUCCUGAGCAAAUCAACAAGUUUGACUGGCUAGGGAGAGAGAUCGGCUGAAAAUGGAGCUUGGAGCAACAAUGGUGUUUAGGGUUGGAAGAGAUGGGUCUUCUUGGAGAAGAAGACCCCCUUUUAUAGUGGGGGGACAAUUCCAACCGUUACCCACCACUCAGCCCAUGACCCAGGAACUACCGCACCACAGGCGCGGUACUACCGCACGGGCCUGCGGUACUACCGUGGUGGACCGCGGUACUACCAUGGGCGCGGCACAGCCCAAACCUGAAUAAAGGAGCACAAACAGGGUGCGGUAGAUCCGCAGGUGCGGUACUACCGUGGCCCCAUGUGGUACUACCGCAAGACAGUCGCAGGCCAGGCCCGGUAGGCACAGAUGUAAAAAGUUACAUCCGUGACUACCUCCGCUGAGAAAUUAUCGUGCAAAAAUCCGACACGGAACUACCGCGACCAACGGUGCGGUACUACCGUGAAGGGUGCGGAUGUAAAAAAUUACAUCCGCCCCUACCUCCGCUCCUGCUACUGAACCUGGCCUGGCGCCACGGUACUACCGCGUCGCAGCACGGUACUACCGCAUGGAGCGCGGACGUAAAAAAUUACAUCCGUUCCUACUACCGCUUGAGCAGCAGUGCCAGACAAGAGCUCGCGGUACUACCGCUCUGAGGAGCGGUAGUACCGUGGGAGCGUCUGGUACAACCAUGCUGGAACCCGGUACUACCGCUUGCUCCUGUGGUAGUACCGCUCAGAAGAGCAGUACUACCGCUAGCCUAAGAAGAGCAACACGGAGGCCUUCAUUUCGCAGAGACAAGGUGAGAUGGAGGAACACUCCAAGGAGCUCGAGGAAAGGCAGUGCAAAAGGGAAUGUGUACGUGAGAUUCCACCCAAACCUUUCCAAAGCGGACCCCCUCUUAAUAGUACGGCUUUCCUACGACUCAACUCCACCGAACCGAACCGUAGAGAAACGCCGUCUUCAAUAAUCUUUGAGGGGCAUCAAAUCAUCUUGUGUUUAGUCGUGAUGUAUCUGAAAUGCUCAAUACACACGAUUAGUCCGCAAAGGCAUUGUCAUCAAUCACCAAAACUACUUAGGGACAAGAAUGCCCUUACAAUCUCCCCCUUUUUGGUGGAUUGAUGACAAUACGGGAUUUGCACAAAGGAGAUGAAUAUAGCACAAGCAAACCCCAUAGCUCUAAAAUAUAGAUGAGCUCCCCCUAGAUUCGUGCUAGAGAGUAAAGUGCUUUGGACUGCACGACACGAAUACUAGGAUCACCACUCCCCCUAUAUUUCAGAAACAAGGCAUAUCUUGCAAUGGUAAGGUUAGCACCAAGCAGGAUAGUAGAUAUGAGCAAAACAUGAAGCAUGAUAUAGCAUAGGCUCAAUAAGGUAAUAAGGUACGAUAGAGUGCAUAUGUCUUACACCAUAUGAUAAACUUAGUCUCACGAGCACAACCAAACCAAGGCAAACAAGUUCAACAACGGAAAGCAAAGAAAACGACGAAACACAUGACACACGGCACGCAAAUACUACACUCUCUCCCCCUUUGGCAUCGAGACACCAAAAAGGCAGUGAGGUCACCUACAACAAAGGUGGUAGCUCAGGCGGAAAACGACUCGUCGUCGCCAGACUCCGUAGAAAGAACAUACUCCUCCUCUGAAUCGGUCCACUGGUAGCCCUGCUUCGCCAUCCAGGCAGUCUCUGGGGUGAUGUGCUUCUCAGAGCCACUGGCCACGUCCUCCCCGCAGGCCCUCAAGAUCCUGAUGUCGCAAUGGCGACUCUCCUUCUGAGCAACAUGGGCCUUGUACUGACCCUGAACCUGCAUGCAGAAUAGCCUCUUCAUCUUGUUCUUCAGCUUCUUUGCCCAAGAGGGCUCAGCAGAGGGAGGCGUGAACGCAGAACGGUCCUCAGCAGCUUCUUCCUCCUCAAUCUCCUCCUCAUCCACAGCCAUCUUGGCAGCCUCAGCAGCAGUGGUGGUGUUUGCCCAUUGGGGCUUGAUGCGAAUCUUGAUGGGCUCAUGUCGAAUCCAGCCCGGAGCUUCAAACUCAUCAUUGGGAAGGAGCUUCUCCCAAGUCUCGGAGAGCAGGUGAAACAGGUAAGGCCCAUAGAUGGGGACCUUACGGUUGAACACGGCGAACUGAAGCUCACACCACAUGAUAUGUGAGACAUCAAGUGGCUGAGUCUGAGCCUGACGGGCCUCCUCACAAAGGAGCAUCAUGUCAAUGAGGUAAGCAUGCACAUAUCCCACAUAACCAAUGCGCGGGAAGAGUGUGUUCCAGAAUAGCCUAUGCAUGAUGUCAAGGAAGGGGUUAAGCACCCACACCUUCUUCUUGUUUGGAAGCGUCUUCUCAACAAGGUAUGGCAUGAGCUUGUUCUUGUUGGCAGACUCAGAAUUGGCGUGAGGGCGAACUCCAACUGGCUUGUCGAGUCCUUCAUCGGGAAUGAGAAGCAACUCCAUGAACUCCUUCCAGGUAGCAGACAGCUGUUGAACAUUAGUCAUCCAAGUCAUGGUCCUUUCUUCAUUGACGUCGAAGUGGACCGAAGCAAAGAACUGUGCUAUGAUCUCUGGCUCAAAAUCCAUGUGGAAGGUGAGAAUGUGUUCGAUGCAGAACUGCUCCACAAGAUCCAAAGCCUCUCCAAAGUACCCAUGGUGCUUCUCCUGCCUCAUGUGAAUCAUGUCAAUCCAGUGAACUUCAACAUAGUGAUUCUGCUUGGCCUUGAUCACAUCCAUAUAGAUCAGAUUCUGCUGCUUGUUCCAGAAAAGGUCAUUGCCUUGCGUGCUAGCCCGGGGAGACACAUAGGGAUUGAGCUUCCUUCGAAUGACAAACUCGGCCUGGGGCAUCUCAUCCAUGCCCAAGACGGGCUCCUUCUGUUUGCUGGCGGUGUGCUUGGUCCUGCGUUGGGGAGCAGCAGAGGACCCCUCUGGAACAUCAUCAGGGUUGCGUAGACGCUUUGACCCUGUGUACGGCUGGGGUUCGAGCGACAAGCAAAACCGGAGCCACCACCUAGACAUAAAGACACAAAGACACGCACGGAACAAAACGGAUCAAAACCAAACCGAAAGAAACACAAAACAUGCAAUUUGGACAAAAUGCGAUUUGGACAAAACAAAAGUGCGCAGGAUGAAUCUAUGGUAGUACCGGGCAGGGUUACGGAUGUAAAAAAUUACAUCCGCUCCAGCCGCGGUAGUACCGUGCCGGGGUAGCACGGUAGUACGGCGCGUGGGGCGGAAGUAAUUUUUUACUUCCGUAUGCCCAGCGGUAGUACCACACCAAGGUGCGGAAGUACCGCGGAGCGUCAGAUCCAGGUGAGGCUGUGGUAGUACCGCUCCAGGAGGAGCGGUAGUACCGCACGGAUUGAAAACCACCACAGAGGACGCGGAUCUGGAUCUAGAACCUCCGCACGAUAUCUUCGGUAGUACCGUUGAUCAAACGGAACUAUUUUGACUAUCCAAAGAGCAUGCAACUACACUACCACUCUACAACGAAUCCCACUUGCACAGAUUUAGCCAAAAAUCUCAAGAACACCACAUGCAUCUCCCCAAAACCUAAAAGCACAAGGAAGGACAAAAAGGAGAGGCACUUGGGGGAAAACCUGGGUCCAUGGCAAGAGGGCUAGGUGGGGAACGAUCCCACCGGUCGGAAUCCGAGGAGAGCGGCCAGAGAUGGAGAUCCGGCGAAGGCCUCCGGCGCCGUUCUUGGUCAGGAGAGAGAGAGACGGGGUGAGGAAUAGUGAUGAAUGGGUAUGGGGGAGUUAGAACUCCCCUUGUCCCACUCUUAGCCCCCACCCGCUCGCGUGGGCGCGGAAGUACCGCGGGUCAUUGCGGUAGUACCGCCCGGGCGGAAGUACCGCACGCUGGGCGGUAGUACCGCUCGUUCAGCGGCAGUAAAAAAUUUCUGCCGCGGAAGUAGCGGUAGUACCAUUCCCCUGGAGGGCCACGCACCUGGCAGAGACCCACCAACUCCUACGGUAGUACCGUGGCGCACCACUGUAGUACCGUAAACCAAGAAAGUGCUAGAACUCAAGAGAGAAAAAGGAGAAAAAGGCAAAACACCCUCCGGGGAACACCAAAUAACAAACACUACUAGGAAAAGGCAUGCUAGUGGCGCACCAGUUUUGCCUACUAAUGGCGCACUACUGGUGCGCCACUAGCAUCACGCCAUUAGAAUUAAAUUCUAAUGGCGCACCACUGGUGCGCCAUUAGUAUUUGGUGUUCUAAUGGCGCACCAAGUAGUGCGCCAUUAGAAUAACCCACAGUGCUCCAUUAGAAUGCCUCCCAAGGGGCCAUAUGUAUCCAUGUGCUUUGGCUUACUAAUGGCGCACCAGUGGGUGAUGCGCCAUUAGUGUGAUUAUCACAGUGCGCCAUUAGUGUCUUGUGUGGUGCGUCACUAGUAUGAAUAUUAGGGAUUUUUUUUCUUUUCUGAUAUUUUCCCAGGUUACAAAAUAUAUUAUUGAACAGAAUUUAGACAACACCACACAGGAACAACAGAUUCAUCGAAUACAAUAGAAGAUUAGUCUCCAAAUACAAUUCAUCAUAUUAGUCUCCGAAUUCAAAAGACCGAACAAAGAUAGAACAUUACAAGUCUCAAGACCGCGAGUAGCGAGUUUGUCUUCAUAUUACAAGUCGAUAUCGAUCAUCUAAACUACCAUCACAUAGAAGAGAGCUGCGGUCAUCACGAUGAGCAUCAUCGCGAUGAAACUGGUCUUCACCCGGUUCCUCCAACGCUCCCUCCUCUCUCCCGCUAGAUAGCGGGCGUAUCUAGAUUCCGCCUCCGCCCUAGUGGUGUACCCUUUGUAACUGUUACCGCUAAAACGGUGAACCUGUCUCCGACACUCCUCCCAGCCGUCCUAGACUCCGGGAACCUUACCCUUGUACACGACAUACGACGGCAUCUCUAUGCACAAGCCAAACAACAGACAAUACAUAAGCAAUAUAUAAGUAUGCAACAAAAGGAUCGGAAGAGAAAAGAAAGACAUUAAUAACACGAUUCAUGGUCCUACUAAUGAAUAGCAUCGAUUACAUCUAAGUUGAACGACUGCCCAAACCAAAGAGACAUACAAGUUCCUUAAAGUUUAAUUACAACAUGAGCUAAUCGAUGUUUCAGAACUACAAAUAGCAUCACUACUUUCAACUCGACUCAUGGGACCGGAGCGUGGAUGAAGCCGGCGUCUUUCGUGAUGGUCAUGAAGUCGCGGGCGUUGUCAGCCUGCAUUUGAAGUGUUGUGUCUAUCUCACUGUUGGACGGUUGCUCUCUGAGGUAGAACUGCCCCGAGGUACAAAGGACAUCUUGAUGGAUGAUUUCUGCAACCUCUGACUGGAUGCGAAAGAAUUCUUGUCGGAGGUCCGUGUCCUGGAUUGCCGCCAAGCUUGCGGCCCAAUCUUUGACAUUAUUUGGUAGUAGAAGGUGAUUAUGGUCCUGUACGAUCGCCAUCAUGUGAUGAAGGGCGUAGUAGGCAUCCUUCUGACCGCCAGGCGGCUGCUUGACGCAGGGGAACGUCGUAUUGUGGGUGAACACGUGCCUGCCGUACCUACGAACUGGCCUCUUAAAGGUGCCUCCAGAUGUGGCGUAGCCGGGGAGAGCAUCAUCAAGAACUUUCUUGAUAUUUGUGUAGUCUAUCUUGGAGUCACGGUCCAGGUCGAAAUACGUGGCUGUGGAAUAUUUCGGGCUUAAGAGGAUGAGUGUGCAAUGUGUGUCACUGCACAGAACACAGAAUGUUAGGAAAAAAAGAACGAUCAAAAUCUAAGAAAUCAUAUGUUACGGGGCGGUGAGGGGAUGACUUACUCGGGAAAGUAAGGCACGAGGAAGUUAUCCUUAUCUGGGUUUGCCAGAAUGACGCCUUCGAGGUGUGAACUCGCGACCUGCCGGUCCCCAGCGCUGCCCAAGAUCUUGGCACGCAUGUAGAAGGGGUAGACUAUCACGAUGUCCGGGGUCUUGUCUGGAAUGAUCCGCAUCUCCAUACUCAGCGAAAACAGCCGAACGAAGGUGUAGUGCAGCAGAUGAAGAUUAAACAUAGCAAAGAUUUCAUCAAACCGCAGGAUGAUCGUACCCCCGAUGGCGCCAUCCACAAAGCCCUUGCCCUCUGGCACCUUGGCCACGAAAACCGGGUAUGCCACAUCAUUCUAGGGGAGACGCAUCUUCUCCAAAGAAAGAACGCUGCCAUGCAGACUCCGCAUAGCACCGGUUGCAGCAUUGAGCAUAUUUGUCGGUAGCAUCUCCCUACCCGCCACAUGCACCCUCCUCGAGAUAUCCUGAGGUGAAGGUGGCCCGUCCUAAGCACGGAUCAUACUCGGUGCCGGCUGGCUCGCACCAGCGCCCUUGGCAGUCUUUCGUUUCCGUCCCUUCUUCUUGAUCUGCAGUAAUGGGACCGAGUUCUGCUCAUAGACCGCCUUCUUGAGCGUGUUGGGGCUGAUAAUAUUUCGCACCUCAGCUAUCUGAGGCUCGGUGAAGGCGGAAGCUGGAGGCGUCUCCUAAGAACUGAACGAUAGACGACGCCUGUUGCAAUUGGAUUUCUCUGUCAUACUAGCUAGAUCGCGGUCGUCUUGGUUGGGUUCUUGAGAAGGAGGCCCGCCGAACUCGUCACCGUAGCCAUGUUCGGCAAAGUACUUAUCAACGUUGGUAAAUGUACCGUCGUCAUUGUCGUCGUUGUCCGGAUCCUGUGCCAUAUGCAUGUCCGGAUCCUGUGCCAUAGGGAUGUCCGUCAUGUCCGGUAGCGUUGCGGCGUUCUUGCCAUGGCACGGCACUGGCACGACUGGCGGCCUUGUCUGUGGGGUGGUGUCCCCCGCCCCCAAACAAAUCUGGCUCUUCGGCCAAAGUAGGGGCCAGCUUAGGCAGGCGUUGAGGGUCAUCAGAUCUUCUUCGUCGGCCCCGGCGGGUCGAUUCGGAGGUAACAACUCGUCGCAGCCUAGCAGCACUCGAACCAGUUGAACCCUAUACACGGUGGGUGGCAUCGGUUUACCGUGGAACACGGGGUUGCCCGGUUGAACGAUUUUACCUUUGGCAACAUCGACCAACUCGUCGUUCACGAAGUGCAGGAGAGUGCACGGAACAUCGGUGGCGCCCUGCGAAAACAUGUAGGGCGUCAGGGAUGCCCAGUCAAUGGCAAAAGGAGAUGAAGUCCUCGGCCGAGAGGCUUAAUUAGUUACCGUGAUGAUGGCCUCGAGCUCGGCUAAUGUCGAGGCACCACCAACCGCUUGCUGGCGAGGUGCCGGCCGGCGUACACCCGGGUGCAUUAAGCUCCAAUUCCUGUGCCGGCACCAGAGACACCAAUACCGCCGCCACCGAUGACACCAAUGGCGCCGCCGGAGACACCAAUGGCGCCGCCUGCGCGUUGUGCGAGUUGCUGGUCGUGAAGCUGGGAAUCAGGGGCGGACCCUGUUGGCCACCCGCAAUCCACGUCGUUAGCCCAUUAAUCAAGGUAGGCAUAAUGCCGGUGAGCGUCGUUCCUAGUUGUUGUUGCACUUGCUCUUGGAUAAUCUCCAGAAUCCGCGCCACUUGUGCCGUGAGUUCUUCAACCUCGCGCGACUGGCUUUCCGAGCUGGUCUUUUUCUCCUUUCGCCCACCAGCGGUAUAGUAUGACAACCAUUUUGUGGACAAGCCUUUGCCGGCCACACGACCAGCUGACGACGGCUUACUGAGCUUAUCCUUGUUUUUCAUUAUGUUCAACGCCCUAUUUAGAGUGCUGUCCCAAGCAGGGGUGCUCUGAGAUGACCCCGCGCUACUGCUUUCAGUCUCCUUCGCCAGAACAAGCUCAAGCACCUUGGUCUUCGGAUCCGUGGUAAGCUCCUUUGUUAUUAGGUCCUCCUUGUACCGGGCCCUGACAAAGUUCCUGGUCUGCUUGUCACUGCUGUAUUUCUCGAAGCGGGGCGGUAGGCCUUGCUCGGCACGCUCCGCGUCCUCCUUGUCCCAUAUAGGCUCCGCCACUCUGUAACCGCCGGGACCGAGUUUGUGUUCCCCUAAGUUCAACUCCCGCAUUUCUUUCCCCCACUGACUUGAUUCGGAGGUUGCACUGCUCUCGCACUUGAUCUUGAACUCCUUGUAGUCAUCUUCGCUGAUCGAAGGAUUUUUCGCCUUAAUCUUCUCAUAACUAUCACCUUUCUCAAUCAUUCUCUUCACCGCGCUUGUCCAAGUAGACAGGGCCGUGCUUAUCCUCGUGACGGCGGCACCGUUCACUUUAUUCCCUAAGAGGCAUGUGUUUUCAAAUUCAGCGGGGAACUUGUAUCGUUCGUGCAGCUUCGUGAAGAGGAGGUUGCGCAAAUUCCCUCGAUCCUUAUGCCUAAGGUUCUCGGUGUUGAUCGAGACAGUGCUCCGGAGAAUGCACCCGAGCUAAACCGAGUACCCCUUGACUAUAUGUUUGGGCUCCGUUGGAUGCCCGUCGGAGUCCACUUGAGUAAAUUCCUCCUUGACGGUGCGAAGCGCGUUCGGGCGCCGGUCCUUCCGUUGCUUCUUCAGUUGGCUGCCAUCUGUGCGUGCGCCGCCAUCAUCAGUGGUGGCAUCCUUGGCGGCACCAUUAGUGGUGGCAUCCUCGGUGGCACCAUCAGUGGUGGCAUCCUCGGCGGCACCAUCAGUGGUGUUAUCCCCGACGCCACUAGGGGUUGUGUUGUCAGGAUCGGUGUCUUCCGUGGCGUCCUCAUAGCGGUGAGGUUGUUCCUCCAUCUCCUGGGAUAGCUCCCAGAAUUGCUUGCCGCCCGAACCGCCGGCCUCAUCGUUGUUGGCCAUGUUUCUCUCUAAAUAGGAAAAAAGUUUGGUCAAAAAGUUGGUUAUUGUCAAGGAACAAGAUCAUGGUCUCAUCAUUUAGGGUUUGUCGACACCGAGGCAUCCUAAAAGCUAAGCUUUUAUCAUUUAGGGUUUGUCGACGACGAGGCACCCUAAAAGCCUAAGCGUACAUCAUUUAGGUUCUCAUUGACACCGAGGCACCCUAUAGAAGCCAAGGUUUCAUCAUUUAGGGUUUGUCGACGCCGAGGCACCCUAAAUGCUAAGUUAAGUUUUCAUCAUUUAGGGUUUAUCGAUGCCGAGGCACCCUAGGUUGGGCCUAAUCACUUGGCACUAAUCACUUGGCUCUAUUGCCACCUAUGUUGGGUUUAUCAUCUAGGGUUUAUUGAUGCUAAGGAGAAUUCUAAGUUGGGCCUAAUCACUUGGCUCUAUUGCCACAUAUGGUUUAAUGCAGCAAGAAUGGCGGGGAAUAGGUGGAGUGGGGGGAGGGUUCUAACGGCACACCUCUCCCUAGUGCGCCAUAAGUACGACGAUUCUAAUGGCGCACCUCCCCCUGGUGCGCCAUUAGAAUUUUGUUUUAAUUACUAGCCCGACUUGUCAGGUUAUAUUCCACCUAACCCUAUCUCCAUCAGAACAUGCCCACUAGCCCGACUGGUCAACACGCAGCACACACACUAGGAGGUCUUGGGUUCGAUUCCCAGGCUCCCCAAUUUUUGUUUUUAUGCUUUAAAAUGAUGUUUGAUAUUUAUUUGUGUUUAUAUAUGUUCAAACUUGUUUAAAUCAUAACAGUAAUAUUUUUUAAUAAAAACAGUAACAAUUUUUAAAAAAUAUCAUCAAAUUUGUUAUUUGAAAAUAUUUAUGAAUAUGAAAAAAUAUCAUCAAAUUUAUUAUUUGAAAAUAUCAUCAAAUUUGUUAUUUGAAAAAAUAAUCAAAUUUGUUUUUUUUUGCAAUUUUAGUUGCAUUCAUUUGUGACAGUGGAGCGGGUCGGGGAGGGUACGGGGGGUCGGUGGCGGUGNNNNNNNNNNNNNNNNNNNNNNNNNNNNNNNNNNNNNNNNNNNNNNNNNNNNNNNNNNNNNNNNNNNNNNNNNNNNNNNNNNNNNNNNNNNNNNNNNNNNNNNNNNNNNNNNNNNNNNNNNNNNNNNNNNNNNNNNNNNNNNNNNNNNNNNNNNNNNNNNNNNNNNNNNNNNNNNNNNNNNNNNNNNNNNNNNNNNNNNNNNNNNNNNNNNNNNNNNNNNNNNNNNNNNNNNNNNNNNNNNNNNNNNNNNNNNNNNNNNNNNNNNNNNNNNNNNNNNNNNNNNNNNNNNNNNNNNNNNNNNNNNNNNNNNNNNNNNNNNNNNNNNNNNNNNNNNNNNNNNNNNNNNNNNNNNNNNNNNNNNNNNNNNNNNNNNNNNNNNNNNNNNNNNNNNNNNNNNNNNCGACGGUGGUGGCCAGUGGAGGGGGUGCGGUGGGUCAUCAGCGGCGGUGGAGUGGGGGAGGGUGCGGGGGGUCGGCGGCGGCGGCCGGUGGAGCGGGGGAGAUGGUGCGGGGGGUGCUCGGCGGCGAGAGGGACCGGAUCUAGCGAGGUGGGAUAGCGAUCGAGAUGGAGGGGGGGGUCGAGAUCGAGUGUCCAUGAAAUUUAAAAACAUUCAUGAGUUCAAAAAGUGCCCAUGAAAUACAAUCGAGAAAUGAAGGCUACAAUUUAAAUACAAUCGAUCUUAGCUAGCUAUCUGUUCACAAUCUUCUUGCCCUUAUUUUUUCGUCAAUGGAGUUCUUCUCUUGAACAGACGUCCUUUAGGUAGGGUGGUCCUGCUUCUUCUUGUGGUGUAUGCUGAUACUUCAUCGUCGUCGUCAUGUUCCAUAUUCGGGUCACCGUACUUGUCGAAGUCUUGCUCAUUGGCGAGUCCAUCCAUUCCGAUGAUCUUCCUUUUGCCUCUCCUCACGACAACGUGACUGGGCUUUGGCAGGUCAGUAAUGAAGAAGCAUUGGUCCACUUGGGAAGCCAGUACCCAUGGCUCAUUUUUCGCGGUGACGUUUGCGCCCGCGGUCUUGGAUUUGGCUUCGGGUAUAACCAUGGUGGUGAAAUACCGGUCUUCUUUUAUGACGCUCUUGGCCCAUCUGACACGGAACAUCGGGACCUUCUCUCUAGCGUAGCUCAGCUCCCAGAUCUCCUCGAUCCUUCCGUAGUAUCUGUCCUUGUCGUUACCGGUGUAGGAUUCCAUCGUUACCCCGGAGUUCUGAUAACCAUCGCUCUUCAUGUCUUUGUCCUUGGUGUAGAAUGUGUAGCCAUUGAUAUCGUAUGCCUCAUAGGUCAUCAGGUUGUGCUCGGCGCCCUGUGACAAGGCGAAUAUGAGUUGUUCUUCCACGAAAGAAUCCUCAUGUAAAGGGUACGACAGAAGCUUCUGCUUGAACCAACGCGUGAAACAUGAGUUGUGCUCUUUGAUUGUAUCUUCGUCCGUCCUCUGUUGGCCUUGGUCAUUGUACGUCUUCUCAAUAAAGGUUUUGUGUUCUACCACCCAAGGAUCGACCACGUCUAUGUGUUGUAGCGCGACUAGGUUUGCUCUUUCAAAGUCGGCGAGUCGACCCUCGAAGUCGACAUGCAUUUCGCGGCGACCCUCACGGUGACCCCAUCCAGCGAGCCUGCCAAGGUGCCUGUUGAUGGGCAGACCAACGGGGUCCUCGAUGCCUAGAUAAUUCGUGCAGUUGGAGAUGCACUCUUCGGUCAAAAAGCCCCUGGCUAUGCUUCCCUCUAGACGUGACAUGUUGCGAACGUAUCCUUUGAUGACACCAUUCAUCCUUUUGAAUGGCAUCAUGCGGUGCAGGAAGUCGACCCGAGUUGGAUGAUAUCCUCCAUGAUAUGGACCAGCAGAUGCACCAUAGCGUCGAAGAAUGCGGGCGAGAAGUACAUCUCAAGCUCGCAUAGUAUCACCACGAUCUCUUCCUGUAGCCUUCUGAGUUGCCUCACUCCAACCGACUUCCGAGAGAUGACGUCGAAAAAGUUGCAUAGGCCAAAUAGCAUUUCACGGACGUGCGCAUCCAUGAUCCCACGGAUUGCAACUAGAAGUAUUUGCGUCAUCAGCACGUGACAGUCGUGAGACUUCAUCCCGCUGAACUUCUGCUUCGCUGGGUCUAGGUAUCUACUUAUCUUCCCCGCGUAACCGAAAGGAAGUUUUACUCCUACGAGGCAGGUGAAAAACUGAUCGAUCUCCUCCUGACUUAGAGUGAAGCACGCGGGAGGGUAGUCAUUUCCGGUCUUCUUGGACUUUUUGCCUUUGCGACGACUUUUCGUGUCCUGCUUCGCCUUAUCAUCAUCAUCAUUAGCGUGAAGCUCCUCCCUGAUGCCCAUUGAUUUCAAGUCUGCCCUUGCUUUUGGCCCAUCUUUGGUCCUCUCUGGCAUGUUGAGCAGGGUACCAAGCAGACUCUCGCACACAUUCUUCGUGAUAUGCAUGACAUCAAGGUUGUGAGGCACAUGGUGGAUCUUCCAGUACGGCAAGUCCCAGAAAACAGACCUUGUUUUCUAUACCUUCAGCAGCGGCUCUGGCGCCUUUCGCUUCUUUCCCGGCUCUGGCGUCUUUUGCUUCUUUCCCGGCAGUGGGCAAUCUUUCCAAUUUUUCAACAGCUCGUCUAUUUCCUCGCGCGCCUCGUACACGGGCGUCUUCAGGGUUCGGUUUCACCAUCGAACAGAUCCUUGCGUUUCCUCCACGGGUCAUCAUCGCGAAGCCACCUUCGAUGUCCCAUGAACACGGUUUUCAAAGACCCAGGAUCUCUAUCUAGCAGGCGAUACAUUGUGUCAUCCAUGCACCUAACGCAUCCAGAAUAUCCGUGGACCACCUGCCCCGCGACAUAUCCGUAACCGAGAUAGUCAUGCACCGUCGUGAGCAGUGCAACUCUCAUAGGGAAAUAUUCUUUCUCUGCGGCGUCCCACGUAUUGGUUGGCAUUUUCCACAGCGUGUCUAGCUCCUCUUUCAGCAGCCCCAGAUACAGAUUGAUGUCGUUCCCUGGUUGUUUCGUCCCUUCAAUUAGCAUACUCAUGUGAAUGUACUUCCUCUUCAUGCACAACCAGGGGGAAGGUUGUACAUCCACACAAACACAGGCCAGGUGCUAUGUGUGCUUCUCUGGCAGCCAAACGGAUUGGCUCCAUCGGUGCUCGCGCCCAGCAUGAUGUUCCUUGGAUCCUUCCCAAAUUCUGGGUGUUCAAAGUUCAACGCUUGCCACUGGCUCCCAUCCCUAGGGUGACUCGGCAUCUUGUCUUUUUUAUUUAUCUCCGGAUCAUUUGCGUCAUCUUCUCGCUUCUUCUCCUCCCUAUCCGCGUGCCGAUGCAGGAGCUUUGCUACCUUAGGUUCCGCGAAAUACCGCCGCAGAUGCGGAGUGAUCGGAAAGUACCACACCACUUUUUGAGGAGCUUUCUUCCUCUUCUUGUAUCGAGUGACGCCGCACACCGGACAUAUGGUAGAGUCCGCGUGCUGGUCCCGAUAAAUGAUGCAAUUGUUCAUGCACACAUGGUAUUUCACGUGCGGUAAAUCCAGAGGACACACGAUUUUCUUCGCCUCCUCGAAACUGGUCGGGCACUUGUUCCCCUUGGGAAGAUGUUCGCGCCAGAAUGACAUGUUCUCGUCGAAGCAGGCGUCAGUCAUUUUGUGUUUUACCUUCAUCUCCAGAGCCAUGAGCAUUACUUUUAGGCGGGUAUCCUCAGGCUUGCAUCCUUCAUACAAUGGAGUAACCACGUCUAUCUCCAGUUGAUCCAGCUUGGCUUUCUCUCGGGCGGCAGCUCUUGCGUUAUCCGUCUGCUUGAGAAGCAGCUCUUGAACAUGAGGGUCCUGCACCCAGCCCAUCGAUGGUUCAUCGUCGUCUGCUCCGCCGGCAUCUUCAUCUUCAUGAUCAUGCCCUUCGUCUGCUCCGGCAUCUUGCUCAUCAUCAUGUCCUGCAUCUUCUACAUGAUGACUGUGUACAGCAUCACCGUCGUGAUCAUUGCCUGGAGAUUCUUCGUCUUCUCGCCCGCCCGAGCCGCGGUGGUUGUCUUGCUGCCCUUCCUCAUUUCUUGCCCGGACCCCAUGGGCGACUUCAUAGUCAUCUUCAUCACCUUGCCACCGAUAGCCAUCCAUGGAACCACGCAAGAGCAGGUGGUCCCGCACCUGCCCGGAAUCCGGGUCCGCAAUAAUGCUCUUCAGCUUGCAUCUUUGACACGGACAUCUUAUCUCCGUCUUGUUCUUUUCAAGCAUCUCGGCCUUCACGGAGCUCAAAAACCUAUUCACGAUGCCUUCGGUCAUUGUGCGGACCAUGGUCGCAUGCGGGGUAGAGCAAAACGAUAUUUUAGAACCAAGAAAAAAUUUGGCAUGACUUUCCCUAAAAAUAGGACCAAAAAGAAUGCAUAGUGCCAAAAUUCUCGCCUAAACAGAAAUGAAUCAACAUUCCGGCAAAAUAUUGGCAACUAUCGCAUUUCAAAUACCGGUACCUGCAAACACAAACAUAUAUGCAACACCACAAACAUAUGCAACACCACGAACAUACAUAGAUCUAGCUAGGCCACAAAAAGUGCAUGUGCACGUUGUUGGAGAGGGAGAACAACAUAAAGAUAGCUUCCCCCCUUACUUACCUAUCAAAAAAGGUAAUUUAACCACUUAAUUUGGAUGAAUCUAUUGUGCAAAUAAGGUGAGGAGGAGGAGGCAGCCGAGACAAGUUGGAGGAGGAGGUGGAGAGAAUGAAGUGGGGAAAGUGAGUGGGUAGGUGGGCUGUCCAAAAUAUCUUGUUGGUCCCAGGUUACUAAUGGCGCACCACCUACAAAUGCGCCAUUAGUAACCCUGGUUACUAAUGGCGCACCUGCUUGUGGUGCGCCAUUAGAAGUUUUGCAAAAAAAUAAAAAAGUAUAUAUUCUAAUGGCGCACCAUGGCACAGUGCCCCAUUACUAGUUUAAACUAGUAAUGGCGCACUAUGCUACGGUGCGCCAUUAUUAGUUUAAACUAGUAAUGGCGCACUACGCUACGGUGCGCCAUUAGUAAUUUUGCAAAAAAUAAAUAAAUAAAAACAACAGUAGUGGCGCACUAUGUGGCCGGUGCGCCAUUACUAGUUAGAACUAGUAAUGGCGCACCUUGCCAUGAUGCGCCAUUAGUAUGUUUGAAAAAAUAAGAAGAGAAAAUUUACUAGUGGCGCACCGUGUGCCUGGUGCGCCAUUAGUGUCUUCCACACUAAUGGCGCACCUCCACAUGGUGCGCCACUGCUAUAUAGUAGUGGCGCACCACAUGACAGGUGCGCCAUUAGUGGCCAUUCCAUCUAUAGCCCUUUUCCUAGUAGUGAAAGAGGCGAACACAAACACCAACUCAAACACACCAAGGAGAAGAGAAAGCCACACGACAACGAAGACCAACUACGAGACACAACUUCUCCAAGGAAGGGCGGUGGCCGGAGCCACCUAUGUUUGAGUCAAUUGGUAUGGCACCGCGAAGAAUUAUCCUUGGGUCCAUGACCAAAACUCGUCUUUGAAGCACAAGUACCAUAAAAAUGGCUAAUGUGAAAGAGUUGAUUAAUUUAUGCAUAAUGGGGGAGGAAAAGUUCAUUGAUAGAACAACACUCCCCCUAUGCCCAUGCCUACACCUAAACUAGACAACAAGUUGAGUGAGGUGGGGUGUGCACGGGCUCAAGUCACAUUGCUUGAAUCAAUGAUAUUUAGCUCAUGCCUUAACUCGCGAAAUCUUGCUUCAUCCAAGGGCUUCGUGAAAAUAUCUGCAAGGUUAUCAUGAGUGUUGACAUACUUGAGCUUGAUCUCCCCUUGCCUAAUAUGAUCCCGGAUGAAGUGAUACCGAAUCUCAAUGUGCUUUGUAUUGAAGUGUUGCACCGGGUUGAGAGAAAUCUUGAUGGCACCUUCAUUGUCACACCAAAGAGGGACUUUGUCAAAAUUGACACUGUAUUCCUUUAAAGUUUGCCUCAUCCAUAGGAGUUGUGCACAACAACUACCGGCCGCCACAUAUUUCGCUUCGGUGGACGAGAGGGACACACAACUUUGCUUCGUGGAAGACCAACUCACCAAAGAGCAACAAUUGGCACCCUCCGGAAGUGGACUUCCUAUCCACUUUGUCUCCCGCCCAAUCGGAAUCCGUAAAUCCUUCAAGCUUGAAGUUUUCUCCUCUUGGGUACCAUAGGCCAAAGUUUGGGGUAUGAGCCAAAUAUUGAAAGAUUCGCUUGACCGCCACAUAGUGGCUUUCCUUCGGUGCGGCUUGAAACCAUGCACACAUUCCCACACUCAACAUGAUAUCCAGUCCAGAUGCACAAAGGUAAAGCAAGGAUCCAAUCAUAGAGCGAUAUACCUUUUGAUCCACCACUUUACCAUUGGGAUCAAUGUCAAGUUGGCACUUGGUAGGCAUUGGAGUAGACGCCGGCUUGACAUCACUUAGCUUGAAUCUCUUUAGCAUGUCUUGAGUGUAGUUGGCUUGGUUGAUGAAAGUACCUUCUCUUCUUUGUUUGAUAUCAAAACAAAGGAAGAACUUCAACUCUCCCAUCAAAGACAUCUUGAACUUAGAGGUCAUGAGGACGGCAAAUUCCUCAUUGAAAGCUUUGUUAGGGGAACCAAAGAUAAUGUCAUCAACAUAUAGUUGGCACACAAACAACUCCCCUUUGACCUUCUUAGUAAAAAGAGUGGGAUCGAUUUGCCCAACUUCAAAUCCACAAUCUUGUAACAACUCGGUAAGGUGGUCAUACCACGCACAUGGGGCUUGUUUAAGGCCAUAGAGUGCCUUAUCGAGUUGAUACACAUGAUCUGGGAAGUAAGGAUCCUCGAACCCGGGGGGUUGCUUGACAUAAACCAACUCAUUAAUAGGACCAUUAAGAAAAGCACUUUUCACAUCCAUUUGUUGUAGAGAGAAUUCCUUAUUUGGCCCUUUCUUAAAAUAUGCUUCCCUUUUUGGCCCUGUAAAAUUAUUUUUGCCCUUUUUGACACCUAAACUUCAUUUUGUUCCCUUAAUGACAUUUUCAUCACUUUUGGCCACUAACACAAUCAGGUGCAAUAAAAAAAGUCGGAUUUACCCCUGCUUUAGUUCACAGGUAGAAUGAAGAAGAAACCCCAUGACUGAACUUCUCUCACUAUUUCCCACCCCGGGUCGAUGUUGGUGCUGCUCAUGGCGAGGCAGAGGGUGACGGAUCGUCGACCUCAGCAUCCAUGGAACGGCGUGUGCCCAUGCGCGUGUUCCAGCACUGCUGGCCGGUCGUGGUCUUCUUUGUUGGUGUUAAAUACGAGUAUACGACAGUAGCAACCCAUACAUGUAUGCUUGAUUACUUGUGCGUGAACGUGUCCGUGUUGGACUGGUGUCACUACACCACGGUAGCUAAAAGAAGGCAUAUGAGUUGUGUACGUGUGCAACGCCGGGCUAUGCUAGCUUUGAUUGAUCAAGACACGGAUCGAGCCAGCCGGGCUAGGUAGCUAGCUGUUCGAGCUGGCAAAGGCGUUGGUGCAUCUCGGCCACCAACAAGUCUGACUGCUGCGACGCAGGUGGUUGGCGGCCGUGGCGUUGGCAUCUCCGGCCGUGACUCUCGGGCUGAAUGCGAGCGCCGCGAUCCGGCAACCUGCACGAGGCAUGCAACUGGUACUUGGCGGAGGGCAGUGCAUGUGGCCGGGAGUUGAUACCGGAACUGCACGCGGCAGCAGCUGUGCGCCAUGCGAAAGAGGAGGCAGAGGUAGUUGCCAGGACCAGACGACCAACAACAGCGACUGCCUCAUUCCGGGCGAGUGGUGUCCGGCUGCUUGUGGCCAGCAGCGCACGCUCUCGUCGUCCUCGUUUGCGAGCCGUCCGCGCGGUGUGUAGCUGCCGAUGUGCGCGGUCUACUACUUGUUCGGAGGAUUUAUUAUGUGUACUGCAGUUUUAAACGUGUGUUAGUUAGAAGAUUUAGGAGUAUGUGUCGGAGUACUUUGAACGUGAUAAAUUGUACUUAUCAUAGAUAUGAUUAUGCUAGUUGAGCAGGUGUUUUCCUCUUUUGUAUGCACGGAUCAGUUUAGCUAAGGAAUAAAUUUAUUGAAGUGCAUAUAUAUGCAAAACAUCAAUGAACAUAUUUCAUAAAAGCAGUGGUUAGUUUUUUACUUAAAUAUAUCCUGGAUAGUGCACUAGGGGCAAAAUGGUCUUUUCAUCUCACACUUAACAUUAUUAGUGACUAAAGGUGACGGAAAUGUAAUUGAGGGAACAAAAUAAACUUUGAGUGUCAAAAAGGGAAAAAUAUUUUAUUUUGGGCCAAAAAGGGAAACAGAUUUUAAGAAAGGGCCAAAUAAGGAAUUCUCUCUUUGUUGUAACUUAAAGUUGUGAUGGGAAGCAUAAGCAAUCAACAAACGAAUGGAUUCAAGUCGAGCAACGGGAGCAAAGGUUUCACCGUAGUCGAUACCCUGGACUUGGGAGUAGCCUUGUGCUACCAAUCUUGCCUUGUUCUGAAUGAUGUUCCCAUGAGCGUCUUGCUUGUUCUUGAAAAUCCACUUGGUUUCAAUGACGUUAUGGUUCCCCGACGGCCGUGGCAUGAUACGUCUCCAACGUAUCUAUAAUUUUUGAUUACUCCAUGCUACUUUGUCUACUGUUUUGGACUAUAUUGGGCUUUAUUUUCCACUUUUAUAUUAUUUUUGGGACUAACCUAUUAACCUGAGGCCCAUCCCAGAAUUGAUGUUUUUUGCCUAUUUCAGUGUUUCGAAGAAACAGAAUAUCAAACGGAGUCCAAACGGAAUAAAACCUUCGGGAACGUGAUUUUCCAACCGAACGUGAUCCAGGAGACUUGGACCCUACUCUAAGAAGUUUCCGAGGAGGCCACGAGGGUGGAGGGCGCGCCCCCUACCUCGUGGGCCCCUCGGAGCUCCACCGACGUACUCCUUCCUCCUAUAUAUACCUACGUACCCCCGUCAGAUCAGAUACGGAGCCAAAAACCUAAUUCCACCGCCGCAACCUUCUGUAUCUGCGAGAUCCCAUCUUAGGGCCUGUUCCGGAGCUCCGUCGGGGAGGGCAUCUACCAUCGAGGGCUUCUACGUCAACACCAUAGCCUCUCCGAUGAAGUGUGAGUAGUUUACUUCAGACCUUCGGGUCCAUAGUUAUUAGCCAGAUGGCUUCUUCUCUCUUUUUGGAUCUCAAUACAAAGUUCUCCCCCUCUCUUGUGGAGAUCUAUUCGAUGUAAUCUUGUUUUUGCGGUGUGUUUGUUGAGACCGAUGAAUUGUGGGUUUAUGAUCCAGCUUAUUUAUGAACAAUAUUUGAU